This is a long non-coding RNA of Musa acuminata AAA Group (dessert banana), 1470 nucleotides long. RefSeq lists it as uncharacterized. The record is from RefSeq and is a predicted model, not a curated record. NCBI's taxonomy places the organism in Eukaryota, Viridiplantae, Streptophyta, Magnoliopsida, Zingiberales, Musaceae. The transcript has 5 exons.
AUAUAUGUUCUCGACAUGCUCUUAAGAGAUAAUAGAUGUGAUUUUGCCUCGGUUUCUGAAUGCACAGCACUGGAGUUCUUGACAUGCUUUAAGAUACGUGUGGACGAUAUAUUCCGAUCGGAGGGAUAUAAACCGACCACGAGGACUGGUCUGCGGAGUUGGUUGACUCUCAGUCGUUGAUUCGGACCCGACCCGGUUGCCUUCUAUAAAUGCCCUCGUCAUCCGGAGCACGUGGCAUCCACGCGGAUGGGCUCCACCGAUCUCCUACGGGUGAACUACGAGGUGACGUCACCCCUGACGGUUUUUCUAGAACCGGUGGUAGCCGUCUGAUGGGCAAUCUUCAAGAGAAACUCCUCGCCGCCCAUUCGCCUCUCGAAUGCCCUCAGGAUACUCCGAUCGGGCUUCUGCCGCGGCGCCGGAUCCAUGUCGAGGAUUCGGGCUCUCCUUCGAUCGUCAAUCGACGCCAUAAAGUUAGGUAAUGUCGUCGUAUUCAUCGGAGAAGUCCAGCCUUGAAUGGGAAAUAGGCUUCUACAAAAUCUUUAUUCGAUCUUGGUUUUGCUUUGGUCCCUGGUUCUUGGAAUCUUUAUCGAUUGCUGUGGUGGGACUGGGAGGGUCAAGAUUCUGCUUUGGGGUAGAUGAUGAAGGGAAGAAGGUGCUGAUGGUUCGUCAGUUCUUGCCGUGUAGAAACUUCUAGCUUUUUGAAAUGGCCAAGUAUUGAUUCAAGAAAGAAUAAAUACGUCUCCGAUCGAAGGGAAUUGGGUCAGUAAUACUGCAAGAAGAUCAUCCAAUGGCUCCAAGUGAAAUAUUUGUGUUCAACUUUAAUUCAAAGGAGGAGCUGAAGAGGUGGCACUUGUACUCUGAUUCAGUUUAUGGAGUGAUAAUUGCAUACAAAGUUAUACACUGAGAACUGGGUCAAUUCACCAGAGCAGCAGGAAGACAACUCAAUGCAAGCUUUUUGUCUUCAUUCCCAAGGAUCACUGGCAUAUUGUGAAGCACAAUGUUAGAAUGAAUCGUCAUCGCCAUGUCUCUUCCUGUCAAUGCUGAAGGUGGUGUUCCUGGUGCUAAAUCUGGACCUGGAGAUUUCAGACUGGAACUCGAUUGGAUCAAGGCACCGAGGAUCCAGCGUUUUGUGUACAACCCGUUUGUAUUUGACUUGAUAAGGAGAUCCAUGGAGCCUGCAUAGAGAAAUCCAGUUACACUGCCGGAGAACCAUUUGCUUUAAGAUCUUCCACCUCUGGUGGGAAGUAGAACAAGAGAACAAGAGAAGCAGAACAGAAAGGACAAAAAGAGCGGUGGGAAGUCUCCAUGGAGCCGGAUUCUUUCUUGUCAUCCCAUGGGUGGAUGCCAUGUGAUGGACAUGGUAUCGUGGAUUUCUUCCUUGGCUGUGUCACAUUGUCACUUAUGAAAGGAAAAAGCUAGUUAAACUAAUAAAUUGAGCCUCUCAUCGCACAAGAUAUCCACUUUGGGACU